Molecule: ribosomal RNA, 378 nt
Filed under: uncultured bacterium
Lineage: Bacteria
Description: bacterial SSU rRNA
Rfam family: Bacterial small subunit ribosomal RNA
Source: RNAcentral
GUAGGGUGCAAGCGUUAAUCGGAAUUACUGGGCGUAAAGCGUGCGCAGGCGGUUUUGUAAGAUAGAUGUGAAAUCCCCGGGCUCAACCUGGGAAUUGCAUAUAUGACUGCAAGACUUGAGUUUGUCAGAGGAGGGUGGAAUUCCAAGUGUAGCAGUGAAAUGCGUAGAUAUUUGGAAGAACACCGAUGGCGAAGGCAGCCCUCUGGGACAUGACUGACGCUCAUGCACGAAAGCGUGGGGAGCAAACAGGAUUAGAUACCCUGGUAGUCCACGCCCUAAACGAUGUCUACUAGUUGUUGGGAGAGCAAUCUCUUGGUAACGCAGCUAACGCGUGAAGUAGACCGCCUGGGGAGUACGGUCGCAAGAUUAAAACUCAAA